UACAGAGGUCUCAAGCGUUGUCCGGAAUCAUUGGGCGUAAAGAGCGUGUAGGCGGCCCGGUAAGUCCGCUGUAAAAGUCAAAGGCUCAACCUUUGAAUGUCAGUGGAUACUGCCGGGCUAGAGUCCGGAAGAGGCGAGUGGAACUCCUGGUGUAGCGGUGGAAUGCGCAGAUAUCAGGAAGAACACCAACGGCGAAGGCAGCUCGCUGGGACGGUACUGACGCUGAGACGCGAAAGCCAGGGGAGCGAACGGG
RNAcentral lists this ribosomal RNA (253 nucleotides) under uncultured bacterium. RNAcentral describes it as "partial 16S ribosomal RNA". It matches the Rfam family "Bacterial small subunit ribosomal RNA", at positions 524 to 776 of the family's 1533-position model. The record is from RNAcentral.